UUGCCUAGAAGCAGCCAUCCUCAAAGGAGUGCGUAAUAGCUCACUGGUCGAGCGAUCCUGCGCCGAAAAUGAACGGGGCUAAGCGUUAUACCGAAGCUGCGGAUAAAUUUAUUUAUGGUAGGGGAGCGUUCUAUGUAGGGUGAAGCGUUAGCGUAAGCGGACGUGGACGGCAUAGAAGUGAGAAUGUCGGCUUGAGUAGCGAAAACAUGGGUGAGAAUCCCAUGCCCCGAAACCCUAAGGGUUCCUCCGGCAGGCUCGUCCGCGGAGGGUUAGUCUGGACCUAAGGCGAGGCCGAAAGGCGUAGUCGAUGGAUAACAGGUCAAUAUUCCUGUACCAGAUGUGUUUUGAGAAGGGGGACGGAGAAGGCUAACCAGGCCAGAUGUUGGUUACUGGUUCAAGCGUUCGAGGCUUUGAGAGAUGGAGAAAACAUCUUGAGCUAAGACGUGAGUACGAGCUGCUACGGCAGCGAAGUUGGUGAUGUCAUGCUUCCAAGAAAAGCUCUAUACUCGUUAAGACACAAAUGCCAGUACCCGAAACCGACACAGGUGGGGUGGUAGAGAAUACCGAGGGGCGCGAGAUAACUCUCUCUAAGGAACUCGGCAAAAUGGCCCCGUAACUUCGGGAGAAGGGGUGCCAGCGAGAGCUGGUCGCAGUGAAGAGGCGCAAGCGACUGUUUACCAAAAACACAGGUCUCCGCUAAGUCGCAAGACGAUGUAUGGGGGCUGACACCUGCCCAGUGCCGGAAGGUUAAGGAAGCUGGUUAGCUUUUAGUGAAGCUGGCGACUGAAGCCCCGGUGAACGGCGGCCGUAACUAUAACGGUCCUAAGGUAGCGAAAUUCCUUGUCGGGUAAGUUCCGACCCGCACGAAAGGUGUAACGAUUUGCGCGCUGUCUCGGAGAGAGGCUCGGCGAAAUAGAAUUGUCUGUGAAGAUGCGGACUACAUACACCCGGACAGAAAGACCCUAUGAAGCUUUACUGUAGUUUGAUAUUGUGCUCGGGCUCUGAAUGCGCAGAAUAGGUGGGAGACGUUGAAAUAGUGCUUGUGGGUACUAUUGAGUCAUCGGUGAGAUACCACUCUUUUAGAGCUAGGGUUCUAACGCUUACCCGUUAUCCGGGAAGCGGACAGUAUCUGAUGGGCAGUUUGACUGGGGCGGUCGCCUCCUAAAAGGUAACGGAGGCGCACAAAGGUUCCCUCAGGCUGGUUGGAAAUCAGUCGUUGAGUGCAAAAGCAGAAGGGAGCUUGACUGUGAGACCUACAAGUCGAACAGGGACGAAAGUCGGUUUUAGUGAUCCGACGGUUCUGCGUGGAAGGGCCGUCGCUCAACGGAUAAAAGUUACUCUAGGGAUAACAGGCUGAUCUCCCCCAAGAGUUCACAUCGACGGGGAGGUUUGGCACCUCGAUGUCGGCUCAUCGCAACCUGGGGCUGAAGUCGGUCCCAAGGGUUGGGCUGUUCGCCCAUUAAAGCGGUACGCGAGCUGGGUUCAGAACGUCGUGAGACAGUUCGGUCCAUAUCCGGUGUAUGCGCAGGAAUAUUGAGAGGAUUUCUCCCUAGUACGAGAGGACCGGGAGGAACGCACCUCUGGUGUGCCAGUUAUCGUGCCAACGGUAAACGCUGGGUAGCCAUGUGCGGAGAGGAUAACCGCUGAAAGCAUCUAAGUGGGAAGCCCACCUCAAGAUGAGUAUUGCCAUGGCUUAAGCCAGUAAGGUCACGGGAAGAACACCCGUUGAUAGGCUCUACGUGGAAGCUUGGUAACAAGUGCAGCGGAGGAGUACUAAUAGACCGAGGGCUUGACCAA
RNAcentral lists this ribosomal RNA (1797 nucleotides) under marine metagenome. Its description in RNAcentral is "bacterial LSU rRNA". It matches the Rfam family "Bacterial large subunit ribosomal RNA", at positions 1102 to 2925 of the family's 2925-position model. The record is from RNAcentral.